RNAcentral lists this unclassified non-coding RNA (350 nucleotides) under soil metagenome. RNAcentral describes it as "partial contains 5.8S ribosomal RNA, internal transcribed spacer 2, and large subunit ribosomal RNA". The stretch from base 1 to 120 matches the Rfam family "5.8S ribosomal RNA", at positions 35 to 154 of the family's 154-position model. The record is from RNAcentral.
GAUGAAGAACGCAGUGAACUGCGAUAAGUAAUGUGAAUUGCAGAAUUCAGUGAAUCAUCGAGUCUUUGAACGCACAUUGUGCCCCCUGGCAUUCCGGGGGGCAUGCCUGUCCGAGCGUCAUUGCUGCCCUUCAAGCCCGGCUUGUGUGUUGGGUCGUCGUCCCCCCCGGGGGACGGGCCCGAAAGGCAGCGGCGGCACCGCGUCCGGUCCUCGAGCGUAUGGGGCUUUGUCACCCGCUCGAUUAGGGCCGGCCGGGCGCCAGCCGGCGUCUCCAACCUUCUAUUUUACCAGGUUGACCUCGGAUCAGGUAGGGAUACCCGCUGAACUUAAGCAUAUCAAUAAGCGGAGGA